UACGAAGGGGGGCUAGCGUUGCUCGGAAUCACUGGGCGUAAAGCGCACGUAGGCGGAUUGCUAAGUCAGGGGUGAAAUCCUGGAGCUCAACUCCAGAACUGCCUUUGAUACUGGCGAUCUCGAGUCCGGGAGAGGUGAGUGGAAUUCCCGGUGUAGCGGUGAAAUGCGCAGAUAUCGGGAGGAACACCAAUGGCGAAGGCAGCUCGCUGGGACGGUACUGACGCUGAGACGCGAAAGCGUGGGGAGCAAACAGGAGUUAGAAAC
Molecule: ribosomal RNA, 264 nt
Filed under: uncultured bacterium
Lineage: Bacteria
Description: partial 16S ribosomal RNA
Rfam family: Bacterial small subunit ribosomal RNA
Source: RNAcentral